UUUGCCCAUUGCUAUGAAAAACAAUUGAUUGAAACAUGGCAGUUUGACAGGCCAUAACUACCUUUUCACUGCAGCUUUUAAAUCUUUUAAAAUAUUAGAGAAUGUUUUAAACAAUAGAGUACGAUUAUUUUUAGACAAUGGCAGGUUCUGCUUUAAGGCGUCUUAUGGCUGAGUACCGCCAACUUACUUUAAAUCCCCCGGAAGGAAUUAUAGCAGGCCCCAUUAGCGAGGAAAAUUUUUUUGAAUGGGAAGCUCUUAUCACUGGACCCGAAGGAACCUGCUUCGAGGGUGGUGUAUUCACUGCAAAAUUAGUGUUCCCACCUGAUUAUCCAUUAAGCCCCCCAAAGAUGCGAUUCACCUGUGAAAUGUUUCAUCCAAAUAUUCCGCCACUGUUGUGGCCAAUCACCGACGCCCAGGGAGGCGACUCCACACCCAGGACCCUAACUCACGACCCGUUUAUUAACGGACCGGCGCCAACGGCUUUACUUCCUCAUGCGAUGGAAGGCGUGAUCCCAGAGAUUUUUCGCCUCAGAAAAUCUCCCGGUGUCGGCUAGGAUUGAAUCUAGACCAGUUGGGUUGGUUGUGAGUGGAUCACGCCACCUCACAACCAUCGACACCUAUGUCGGCGGUGGGAUUCGAACCCAGGCGUCGAGCGUGGUUGACGGAGACCUUACCAACCACACUAGGCCCCCGCUCUGAUCGAAUGUUUUUGCCGAUGGAAGAGUAUGUAUUUCAAUAUUGCACGCCCCUGGGGAUGAUCCAC
Wyeomyia smithii (pitcher-plant mosquito) is the source of this 763-nucleotide RNA transcript. It is a transcript of the gene named ubiquitin-conjugating enzyme E2 G2, with no coding region annotated. Lineage: Eukaryota; Metazoa; Arthropoda; Insecta; Diptera; Culicidae. The transcript is spliced from 5 exons. The record is from RefSeq and is a predicted model, not a curated record.